RNAcentral lists this ribosomal RNA (497 nucleotides) under uncultured bacterium. RNAcentral's name for it is "partial 16S ribosomal RNA". It matches the Rfam family "Bacterial small subunit ribosomal RNA", at positions 31 to 507 of the family's 1533-position model. The record is from RNAcentral.
GAAGAAAGCUGGAGGCGUGCCUAAUACAUGCAAGUUGAGCGCUGAAGGUUGGUACUUGUACCAACUGGAUGAGCAGCGAACGGGUGAGUAACGCGUGGGGAAUCUGCCUUUGAGCGGGGGACAACAUUUGGAAACGAAUGCUAAUACCGCAUAAAAACUUUAAACACAAGUUUUAAGUUUGAAAGAUGCAAUUGCAUCACUCAAAGAUGAUCCCGCGUUGUAUUAGCUAGUUGGUGAGGUAAAGGCUCACCAAGGCGAUGAUACAUAGCCGACCUGAGAGGGUGAUCGGCCACAUUGGGACUGAGACACGGCCCAAACUCCUACGGGAGGCAGCAGUAGGGAAUCUUCGGCAAUGGACGAAAGUCUGACCGAGCAACGCCGCGUGAGUGAAGAAGGUUUUCGGAUCGUAAAACUCUGUUGGUAGAGAAGAACGUUGGUGAGAGUGGAAAGCUCAUCAAGUGACGGUAACUACCCAGAAAGGGACGGCUAACUACGUG